GACGAACGCUGGCGGCGUGCCUAAUACAUGCAAGUAGAACGCUGAAGAGAGGAGCUUGCUCUUCUUGGAUGAGUUGCGAACGGGUGAGUAACGCGUAGGUAACCUGCCUGGUAGCGGGGGAUAACUAUUGGAAACGAUAGCUAAUACCGCAUAAAAUUGAUUAUUGCAUGAUAAUUAAUUGAAAGAUGCAACUGCAUCACUACCAGAUGGACCUGCGUUGUAUUAGCUAGUUGGUGAGGUAACGGCUCACCAAGGCGACGAUACAUAGCCGACCUGAGAGGGUGAUCGGCCAAACUGGGACUGAGACACGGCCCAGACUCCUACGGGAGGCAGCAGUAGGGAAUCUUCGGAAAUGGGGGGAACCCUGACCGAGCAACGCCGCGUGAGUGAAGAAGGUUUUCGAAUCGUAAAGCUCUGUUGUAAGAGAAGAAAGGGUGUGAGAGUGGAAAGUUCACACUGUGACGGUAUCUUACCAGAAAGGGACGGCUAACUACGUG
This 497-nucleotide ribosomal RNA is filed under the name uncultured bacterium. RNAcentral's name for it is "partial 16S ribosomal RNA". It matches the Rfam family "Bacterial small subunit ribosomal RNA", at positions 28 to 507 of the family's 1533-position model. The record is from RNAcentral.